GCAUCCGUGGCUCAAUUGGUAGAGCAACUGACUCUUAAUCAGUGGGUUCCAGGUUCGAGUCCUGGCGGAUGCACCA
This 76-nucleotide transfer RNA is filed under the name Prosthecochloris sp. GSB1. RNAcentral's name for it is "tRNA-Lys". It matches the Rfam family "tRNA". From Rfam's summary of the family: Transfer RNA (tRNA) molecules are approximately 80 nucleotides in length. Their secondary structure includes four short double-helical elements and three loops (D, anti-codon, and T loops). The record is from RNAcentral. Lineage: Bacteria; Pseudomonadati; Chlorobiota; Chlorobiia; Chlorobiales; Chlorobiaceae.